Mauremys mutica (yellowpond turtle) is the source of this 951-nucleotide long non-coding RNA. RefSeq lists it as uncharacterized. Lineage: Eukaryota; Metazoa; Chordata; Testudines; Geoemydidae. The transcript is spliced from 2 exons. The record is from RefSeq and is a predicted model, not a curated record.
AAAAAGGAGCUCACUCCCCCUGGCCUGGUCUGGCCCUAGCCAGGUUCCCUUUUCCAGCCCAGGCAGCAAGAGUGUCCACCUGCCGUGGGGGCUCUGGGCAGGAUAUCAUCGUAUACUGUAAGUUUGCUAUGAGACACUACAGUAUAGAUGAUGUACUAUCCUGAGCUUCACCCCUCAGCCAGGAGCUCUACUGCAGGCCCAGCGCAGGGGAGAACGCCUGGCCAGCUGGGAGCACUUCCAGCACAGCACAAGUUCCUCCCGGGGAGGGAGGGAGGGAGAGAGAGAGAGUGCCCCCCCUCCCAUGAAGGCCCGGCCCUGCGUGUGGCAGCCUCGCCCCUUCAGCCUCUUCCUGCAUUCAGUGCGCUCCUUUUUCCCUGGGUCUCCAGUGUGGGAUGGAAACAAGUGCUACCUUCGCUGGCGCUGCUGCUCUGGAACACCUGCGUGAACAGGCUGCAAGUGGGGAAGCAGCCAAUGGGAAAGACAAGGUUAACAACCAUUCCUCCCGCCAGGCUGGGAGGCGCUGCCCUGCUAAGCCAUGGGGGGCGAGCAGGCUGCGGGGAGCAAGAGGGAAGAUUCCACUGCCGCAUGGGCAAGAAGCAGCUUUCAGAGCUGGCGAAGGCACCUGCCAGGAGGCUGAGCCCAUGGGGUGUCAAUGAAACCGUUACCAUUACUGACUUUAGUAAUGGUAACGGUUCUACUGCCGCCCCAGCAUCCGUCCAGCGAGAGCAAGAGGAGCAGCACCCCAUUGCCAGGGGGAGCAGCACCCCUCCACGGUGCCAGCCUCUAUGGGAGGCCAGCAAUGAGACCUUCCCCCCCCAUGUCCUCUCCAAGCUGUGGGAGGGCAGAGGGAGAGCUUGGGGUGCCCUGCCUGGGGGUCAGAUUCCCUUGGGCCAGACCCCCUCUCCCAUAGUCCCUCUGCCAAUCAAUGAGAAAUAAAGGUGUUUUCUUGGA